GCGGACCGUGGAGGCCGGGUGCAGCCCCGUCGGCUCCGCGCUCCCAGCAGAAAGGGCUUUUCUGCGCCCCCCGCCCAUCACUUGGAUCUGGUCUGGCUAUUGCCCAGUGCCAUUCACCAAGGUGGUGAAAUUCACACGCCCAUCAAGAAUGCACAGGUGAGGGUGUCUCUUGCCAACACCCUCGCCCAUCCUGUCAAGACAGCAGCGUGUCAGAUCUCAAACUCAGUUCCCAGACCGGGGAUUGAACCCAGGCCACGGCAGCAAAAGCCUGGAAUCCCAACCACUAAGCCACCCAAGAACUCCCUGGGACCAGCUUCUUAGUUUGAAAACUGUCAAUAAAGAGGAAAGAGUCAAGCAUAGAGGAAAAAGAGAGGAGAGGAGAAUCUUUGGGUGCAGAUCAAGAAAGAGUUAAGGAAACAGUGGCCCAGAGAGACCAAGUAACUUAUUCCAAGCCACACAGCAAACUGGCUGCUUAACCUGUGUCCAAGCUGCUUGGGGAAGUCCCACAUGCCCCUGAUUCAACGGUGACACAUGAAUGAUGCUCAGUAAACAGUCAUCAAAUGGACCAACCAACCGGGCUAUCACCACUUCUGACUGUGCCUCCAUCUGAAAUUGCAGAAACCCUCUAUAGCCACCGUGACCUCCAGUUCCCAUUUCAGACAGGCUGACAUCCACGAUGUCACAUGAUAGAAGGUGACUCCAGAGAGGCUGACUACAAGGCUCCUGGAGGGAGCUAUGGCAGACAAGAGAAGAGCCUCCCUCUUGCCACUGGAUUUGCUGGCCUAGUGACCACUGUGAACACAGGUGGAAAGUGCCUGAGGGAGAUAAGGAGCCCCUGAGAUAAUGCUGAGUUCUGCAUGCAGCUGUGGGAGAUCUCAGAUCUAUUCCGUGGGUUCUAGUUAAAGGAACAGAAGCUCCAAUACUUUGGCCACCUGCUGUGAAGAACUGACUCAUUGGAAAAGACUCUGAUGCUGGGAAAGACUGAAAGCAGGAGAAGAAGGGGACGACAGAGGAUGAGAUGGUUGGAUGGCAUCACUGACACGAUGGACAUGAGUUUGAGCAAGCUCCGAGAGUAGGUGAUGGACAGGGAAGCCUGGCGUGCUGCAGUCCAUGGGGUCGCAAAGAGUCGGACACGACUGAGCGACUGAACUGAAAUUAUUAUUUAGUGUGUUCAAGCCAGUUCGACUUGUGUGUCUGUUGCUU
This is a long non-coding RNA of Budorcas taxicolor (takin), 1203 nucleotides long. RefSeq lists it as uncharacterized. The record is from RefSeq and is a predicted model, not a curated record. Lineage: Eukaryota; Metazoa; Chordata; Mammalia; Artiodactyla; Bovidae. The transcript is spliced from 7 exons.